AACGAACGCUGGCGGCAUGCCUAACACAUGCAAGUCGAACGAAGGCUUCGGCCUUAGUGGCGCACGGGUGCGUAACGCGUGGGAAUCUGCCCUUUGCUUCGGAAUAACAGUUAGAAAUGACUGCUAAUACCGGAUGAUGUCGCAAGACCAAAGAUUUAUCGGCAAAGGAUGAGCCCGCGUAGGAUUAGCUAGUUGGUGGGGUAAAGGCCUACCAAGGCGACGAUCCUUAGCUGGUCUGAGAGGAUGAUCAGCCACACUGGGACUGAGACACGGCCCAGACUCCUACGGGAGGCAGCAGUGGGGAAUAUUGGACAAUGGGCGAAAGCCUGAUCCAGCAAUGCCGCGUGAGUGAUGAAGGCCUUAGGGUUGUAAAGCUCUUUUACCCGGGAUGAUAAUGACAGUACCGGGAGAAUAAGCUCCGGCUAACUCUGUG
RNAcentral lists this ribosomal RNA (433 nucleotides) under uncultured bacterium. Its description in RNAcentral is "partial 16S ribosomal RNA". It matches the Rfam family "Bacterial small subunit ribosomal RNA", at positions 29 to 507 of the family's 1533-position model. The record is from RNAcentral.